GACGAACGCUGGCGGCGUGCUUAACACAUGCCAGUCGAACGGAAAGGCCCUGCUUUUGUGGGGUGCUCGAGUGGCGAACGGGUGAGUAACACGUGAGUAACCUGCCCUUGACUUUGGGAUAACUUCAGGAAACUGGGGCUAAUACCGGAUAGGAGCUCCUGCUGCAUGGUGGGGGUUGGAAAGUUUCGGCGGUUGGGGAUGGACUCGCGGCUUAUCAGCUUGUUGGUGGGGUAGUGGCUUACCAAGGCUUUGACGGGUAGCCGGCCUGAGAGGGUGACCGGUCACAUUGGGACUGAGAUACGGCCCAGACUCCUACGGGAGGCAGCAGUGGGGAAUAUUGCACAAUGGGCGGAAGCCUGAUGCAGCAACGCCGCGUGCGGGAUGACGGCCUUCGGGUUGUAAACCGCUUUCGCCUGUGACGAAGCGUGAGUGACGGUAAUGGGUAAAGAAGCACCGGCUAACUACGUG
RNAcentral lists this ribosomal RNA (468 nucleotides) under uncultured bacterium. Its description in RNAcentral is "partial 16S ribosomal RNA". It matches the Rfam family "Bacterial small subunit ribosomal RNA", at positions 28 to 507 of the family's 1533-position model. The record is from RNAcentral.